RNAcentral lists this long non-coding RNA (367 nucleotides) under Setaria viridis. RNAcentral's name for it is "long non-coding RNA (SVIR_LNC007228)". Lineage: Eukaryota; Viridiplantae; Streptophyta; Magnoliopsida; Poales; Poaceae. The record is from RNAcentral.
AAAGAGGUUGAGAAAGAUAAACAAUAUGGUAUUUUGAAUCGGAGGGAAUAGCUUUUUAGAAUCAUUUGAUCCAAUCAUCAAAUAAGCAAAACACUCUCUCUGAGACAUUUGCAAGUGAUUUGCUUCAUAUGCUUAGGCACAUGCUGAAAGAAACACAUGUGCCUUCCUGUAAUUUGUUCCUUCCCUGAUUCAGAUCUUGAGGUCAGAAUUGAAUGGGAACCUGAUUGUGAACUGUGGAGUAAUAAGUGGCGAUUUCUUUAUCUCGGUAAGCGUGCUCGGAUUCAAUCCAUCUUUGAAAUCGCAGGUACCAAUAAGGAUUUGAUCAUCCUAUACCGAUCCCUUUCGUGCAGACUAAGAUAUGGUGACG